RNAcentral lists this ribosomal RNA (543 nucleotides) under Hepatozoon canis. RNAcentral's name for it is "SSU rRNA". It matches the Rfam family "Eukaryotic small subunit ribosomal RNA", at positions 503 to 1045 of the family's 1831-position model. Lineage: Eukaryota; Apicomplexa; Hepatozoidae. The record is from RNAcentral.
UUGUAAUUGGAAUGAUAGAAAUUUAAACCCUUUUUAAAGUAUCAAUUGGAGGGCAAGUCUGGUGCCAGCAGCCGCGGUAAUUCCAGCUCCAAUAGCGUAUAUUAAAAUUGUUGCAGUUAAAAAGCUCGUAGUUGAAGUUCUGCUAAAAGUAACCGGUCUGCUUUUAAUAAAGGUGGUAUCUUGGUGUGUAUUUAGCAAUGAUGUCCUUUACAGUGUUUUUUACUUUAUUGUAAUAAAGCAUAUUCAGGACUUUUACUUUGAGAAAAUUAGAGUGUUUCUAGCAGGCUAACUCUUUUAAUACUGCAGCAUGGAAUAAUAAGAUAGGAUUUUAGUUUACAUUAUUGGUUUUAAAAGCUAAAUUAAUGAUUGAUAGGGACAGUUGGGGGCAUUUGUAUUUAACUGUCAGAGGUGAAAUUCUUAGAUUUGUUAAAGACAAACUACUGCGAAAGCAUUUGCCAAAGAUGUUUUCAUUAAUCAAGAACGAAAGUUAGGGGAUCGAAGACGAUCAGAUACCGUCGUAGUCUUAACUAUAAACUAUGCCGA